UACGUAGGGGGCAAGCGUUGUCCGGAAUCAUUGGGCGUAAAGCGCGUGUAGGCGGCCCGAUAAGUCCGCUGUGAAAGUCCAGGGCUCAACCCUGGGAUGCCGGUGGAUACUGUCGGGCUCGAGUCCGGAAGAGGCGAGUGGAAUUCCUGGUGUAGCGGUGAAAUGCGCAGAUAUCAGGAGGAACACCAAUGGCGAAGGCAGCUCGCUGGGACGUGACUGACGCUGAGACGCGAAAGCAUGGGGAGCGAACAGG
Molecule: ribosomal RNA, 253 nt
Filed under: uncultured bacterium
Lineage: Bacteria
Description: partial 16S ribosomal RNA
Rfam family: Bacterial small subunit ribosomal RNA
Source: RNAcentral